This 309-nucleotide unclassified non-coding RNA is filed under the name Gymnopilus penetrans. RNAcentral's name for it is "partial internal transcribed spacer region". The stretch from base 1 to 46 matches the Rfam family "Eukaryotic small subunit ribosomal RNA", at positions 1786 to 1831 of the family's 1831-position model. Lineage: Eukaryota; Fungi; Basidiomycota; Agaricomycetes; Agaricales; Galerinaceae. The record is from RNAcentral.
AAGUCGUAACAAGGUUUCCGUAGGUGAACCUGCGGAAGGAUCAUUAUUGAAUAAACUUGACGUGGUUGUAGCUGACUCUCUCGGGAGUAUGUGCUCGCUCGUCAUUUUUUAUCUUUCCACCUGUGCACUUUUUGUAGAUUUAGAUGUGACUUUCUGAGGCAACUCGGUUGGGAGGAAUGUCAAUUCGUUGGCUUUCCUUGUAUGUCCAAAUCUAUGUUUUUAUACACUCAAAAAAAUGUAACAGAAUGUAUACUGGGCCUUGUGCCUAUAAAUUAUAUACAACUUUCAGCAACGGAUCUCUUGGCUCUC